GAUCCUGGCUCAGGAUGAACGCUAGCUACAGGCUUAACACAUGCAAGUCGUGGGGCAGCAUGGGAGAUGCUUGCAUUUCCUGAUGGCGACCGGCGCACGGGUGAGUAACGCGUAUCCAACCUGCCCUUCACUCCGGCACAGCCCGUCGAAAGACGGAUUAAUGCGGUAUGCAGUCAGAAAGAUGCAUAUUAAUUUGACGAAAGGCCUUCGGGCCGGUGAGGGAUGGGGA
This 229-nucleotide ribosomal RNA is filed under the name uncultured bacterium. RNAcentral describes it as "partial 16S ribosomal RNA". It matches the Rfam family "Bacterial small subunit ribosomal RNA", at positions 15 to 231 of the family's 1533-position model. The record is from RNAcentral.